UACGUAGGGGGCAAGCGUUGUCCGGAAUUAUUGGGCGUAAAGCGCGUGUAGGCGGCAUGGCAAGUCGGGUGUGAAAGCCCUCAGCUUAACUGAGGAAGUGCGCCCGAAACUGCCGUGCUUGAGUGCCGGAGAGGGUGGCGGAAUUCCCCAAGUAGAGGUGAAAUUCGUAGAUAUGGGGAGGAACACCGGUGGCGAAGGCGGCCACCUGGACGGUAACUGACGCUGAGACGCGAAAGCGUGGGGAGCAAACAGG
Molecule: ribosomal RNA, 253 nt
Filed under: uncultured bacterium
Lineage: Bacteria
Description: partial 16S ribosomal RNA
Rfam family: Bacterial small subunit ribosomal RNA
Source: RNAcentral